Molecule: transfer RNA, 74 nt
Filed under: Chloroflexota bacterium
Lineage: Bacteria; Bacillati; Chloroflexota
Also listed under: 1 other name
Description: Chloroflexi bacterium tRNA-Pro
Rfam family: tRNA
About the family: Transfer RNA (tRNA) molecules are approximately 80 nucleotides in length. Their secondary structure includes four short double-helical elements and three loops (D, anti-codon, and T loops). Further hydrogen bonds mediate the characteristic L-shaped molecular structure. tRNAs have two regions of fundamental functional importance: the anti-codon, which is responsible for specific mRNA codon recognition, and the 3' end, to which the tRNAs corresponding amino acid is attached (by aminoacyl-tRNA synthetases). tRNAs cope with the degeneracy of the genetic code in two manners: having more than one tRNA (with a specific anti-codon) for a particular amino acid; and 'wobble' base-pairing, i.e. permitting non-standard base-pairing at the 3rd anti-codon position.
Source: RNAcentral
CGGGGCGUAGCGCAGCCUGGUAGCGCGCCAGAUCUGGGAUCUGGAAGUCGAGAGUUCGAAUCUCUCCGCCCCGA